AGUAAAAAAGUUCAGGUGCCCGCUAUUCUGCCACUUUUCAAUUUCGUUAUCCCGCUGCACCCUCACCUGCUCUCGUAAAUUUUUUCUAUUCAUUCAAUUUUGUCUCCGCUCUUGCAAAUCCUCUCUAGUUCGAAAAUUUUGGGUUUUUCAUAGAAAAAUUCGAGUCGUUAAUUGCGACAUCAGAUGUUGAGCUGCUCGAUAGAGCUUGACACAACGAAAAACCUGCUCAAGAAAUUCUUCAAUUCCAGGCUCUUUUGGUUCAGAGAUCUUAUCCUCAACAGAUCUCGCUAGCAAAUUCAAUCUAUGGUAUACAUUCUCUCUCAAUCAAAAACCCUAAUUUUUUUUGUAGUAUAACACUUUUUAAAUACAAUUGACAGUCAGUUCAGAAUUUCUCUUUCUUAAAUUUCGUAUGAUAAAUUAAUAAUACAUUUAUUAUUAGACUACAAGAUCUGGCUGAAACAACUGGAAAUUUUGGUGCUUUUUAAUUGGGAAAAAUCUGCUAACUGGCUAACUGCUCCAAUUUUGUAAUAAGCUGGUUUCUUGGAUUAGAAGUGAAAGAGAUGCAGUUACAAUUGCUUUUUCUAAUUUAAUAUCUCACCCUUUUGCUGCUUGCUACUUGUUGAAAUUGUCGAUUAACCUGAAUGGCAGCUCUAUGCUCUCGUUAUUGUCAAAAUCUUAAACUUCAGAUUAUGCAGUUCUUGAAGCAAUAUCAACGGCGACUUCAGAUUCGCCUAAUUCAUCAAUUCCAGUCCAAAUCAGUAGAAUUUGGGUGAUUAAAAUUCCCAAGUUCAUUUCGAGUUUCCAUUAUUAUCUCCAUAUCUUGCUUAUUAGUAGAAUUUGGGUGUUUCAAAUCCUGUGUAUUCUUCUUAAAAAAAAUUCGGAAUGUUAUUCUAAUGGGUUGAGAAAUUGGGGUUUCUAACUUUUUAUUUAUUUAUUAUUUUUUGGGUUUGUUUUUGGUUAAAUUGAAUUGAGGUCAGGUUCGAAUCAUUGACCUGAAUUACCCGGUGAUGAAUUGAACUUGAAGUAACCCAAUUUGAUCCUUUGUCGUUGCUCUUUUCUUACGCGUUUGAUUAUGAUUUUGGAUUCCAUUUAUGUUUUUCUCAAUUGGAUUAGUUUCUCUGUUUGUUAAAAUGGUCUAAUAUCAAUUGAAUUAGGAAAUGAAGUUAGGGUUUGAGUUAUUGCUUUUGCUAAAUAUGAUAGAACUACAUAAACGAAAACUGUAGUUUAAGCGCCUAAGGCGUUUCAUGGAUAAGUGUCAUUGUAAAAAAGUUGUUUGUUUUGUGAAUAUCUUAGUAAAGAGCUUAAUAUUAGCAAAGAAAAAUUUUAUGUUUAAAAGAAAUGGUUUUUUUGGAGUCACUAUGAACUUCAGGAACUCGGCUUCAACGGACAUCCCGAGUCAAUUUCGUAAUUCACCUUCGUUUUAUAGAGUUCUUAUGCCUUAUAUCUCAAAUUUGUUAUUUUUAAUUAAUUCAUGUGAUUUAUGUCAGUUUUAUCUGAUAUGUUUUAUGCAAUAAGUGCUACUCUUGGUUGUUCUUUUUCUCUGUUUUUCUUUUUCCAAAUUAAUUUCAGGAUUGAAGAAUGUUUCAUCCAAAUUCUGGUCAUGGUUUCAUGGUCUGUGCAGGACAUAUAUGAACAAAGUUGGGUAAAAAGUAUGAUAAGGAGAAAUCAGAAAAGUUUGACUCCUAAAUCUGUUGCUUCCGUUUUAAGGUGUAAAAUAAGUACUGGUGGAUUGAAUCUAAAAUAAGUAAUGUUGCUUCUGUUUUGAGUGAACUCCUAAUGUUUAUCUUUACUGCUGUUGUUGCUGCUACUUCUGUUUUAAGGUUUUAAAUAUGUUCUAAAUCUUGUUAUAUAUUGAAUCUGAACAUUUCAAGAUGAUCAGAGUUACAUGUACAGAAGCAAACUAAUUGAAACAAGGGUAGUUGAGUUGUUAGCAUGUUGUCUAAACUCUAAAGUUCUUUUCAUAGAUUGAAUUGAUUAGGAUGCUGAGUUCGUGGUUACACAAGUUUGGUUUUAGUGUUAGAAUGGGUAUUUGAGGUGAAAUAAAGAGCCGGGAGUACCCAUAGGCUUUAGGACUCACUGAGUAAUUGAUCUGAUGACUAUCCUGGAAUUGCAGUGGACUAUUUUCAGUCACUUUUGUCACUAAAGUUAAAUGUAGUGCCUGAAGUGUUGUCAUGAUAAUUCUUCUUUGCUGCUGGGUUUUGGCCCUUCCUAGAAGGUUCGGAAACACAGUUUUGAACUAGGUUAUAACUGUGUUCAGUUUUGAAUAUAUCAGCUAUAACUGUAAUUGUGUUAUGUUACAGUUGCUUAUGACCUCACUGUGCACCCUAACCUUCAUGGUGGAUAUCUUGCUUUAACUUCACAUGUACUUUAAUGAUUCUCUUUCUUCUGGUCAGUAAAAUAAUGUUCUUCAACCUGCUUGGAUGUUUUCUUCAUUAGAUCGAUUCAAUAAUGAAAAUAAAUUCAUGUUUCCACAUUUGAAACUUGUAGUAUAGUACCUGUGUUAUGUAACAUAGUACUAUACCAAAAAUUUCCUUAAUAGACUGAUAUUGAAGUUACUCUUAAACCGAUGUUUUGUUACCUAUCAUGUUUAUGUUUCCAUUCAAUACUGAAAAUAAAAUCCCACCCGACUCAUGUUUCCACAACAAGCAUCAACAAUGAUCAACAUAGUUUAAAUUUAGCAAUCUCUUGAUAUGUACUGAAUCAUGCCGCAAUGUCUACCAGAGAAAAUGCUGCUAGAGUGUCAGUACGUGCUAGUCGAAAGACAUGAUUUUUAAGCAUUAAGCAUAUCCGUUUUACCUUUCUCAUCGGUCUUUAAUUGAAUCUCUCUGACACGUCCUGUGAUCUCUGUAAUUUUCUUUGUUCGGUCAGAGACAAUAUACAAGGUACAUUGUCUUGAUUAGGAGCUGUACCUAGUUCAUCAGAUGCGUUGCAGCAACGAGCUUAAAAUGGUGGAUUCCGAUUGCCAUUUGCAUAAUUUUUAUCCUUCUCAGGGAUUCCAUAGCUUUUCUGCUUGGAAAAUUUUAUUACAACAAGGGAGGGAACAACAAAUGGAUGGUUACACUGGUGCUAGAUUUCCCAGUUUUACUUCUCCUUUAUUACAUUUUUCCAGAGCAAUAUACCCAAGAAAACGCACCAAAAAUGCAGCCUCCAUUCAUAAAGGGUUCAUCAAUCUACAUAGUCUUGGGGUUGUUCGGAGUAGGAGCGAGUAUGCUGUACUCAGUAGGACUUGCAUAUAUGUCAGUCUCUACAUUUUCUCUCAUAUGUACUUGUUCAGUGUGUUGUUGUGUACAGAUGUAUGCAUUACUAAUAAAUAUGACUUUUUCACUUGUUUUGUUCCAGCUUCAAGCUGAAUUUCGCUAUCAAUGUAUUGGCACUUAUGCCUUGACAGAGUCAAUGUUUCCCCUAUUAGAGAAGGCUGCACCUGAUUCCCAAUUAGAUGUAAAUGUAUUUCGCUGUUGAUUCCCUUGCUAGAGAUGCUAGGACAUUUUCAACUGAUUGAUGGUAAUAUUGCUAUGUUUCUUUGGUAGUCAUGAUGUUAAUCAUGACAGUGAUGGUAGGGCAGGGCCAAGGGCACACUUAAACACGUUCUUCUCGGAACUGGUGCGGCUAAUACCAUGCAGGGCAUCUGUUUCUCCAUUUAGCCUUAUCCCACCAACCCAGACAUGCUGCAACGCCAUCAAAACUCUAGGACAUCCUUGUUUGUGUGUGCUUGGCCCGCCUAUAUCUGGUGUUGAUCGAAGCAUGACCUUGCAGCUCCCUGAAAAGUGUGCCCCAAUUUUGAUCCAUGAGUUCUCAAUUGGUCAGAAUUGGAAACAUAGUUGACAACUUUGAAGUCAAAUUUACCAGCCUUGCAGGAUCCAAGUUACGGGGCUUUUGUGCAAUCAAUUUGGCCUGUGUUCAUUGUGCAAGCAUCAUAGAGAGGAAUUUCAGUAUAACACAUAACAUAAUCACAAACAAAAGGAGAGGAACUUAUACAGAUAUUUGAAGGUUAUUUAGAACUUAAACAUACAAAUUAUCUUUUAUGAUGAAUGGAUGUGAUUUUAUGGUUUCAUCUAACUUCCCUAUGAUGUAAUUUUUUUUUCAGGAAUGAAAUUACCUUUUUGUUUUCA
This is a long non-coding RNA of Spinacia oleracea (spinach), 4109 nucleotides long. RefSeq lists it as uncharacterized. NCBI's taxonomy places the organism in Eukaryota, Viridiplantae, Streptophyta, Magnoliopsida, Caryophyllales, Amaranthaceae. The record is from RefSeq and is a predicted model, not a curated record. The transcript has 2 exons.